GAUGAACGCUGGCGGCGUGCCUAAUACAUGCAAGUCGAACGAACAGACGAGUACCUUGCUCCUCGGACGGUAACGGCGGACGUGUGAGUAACACAUGGAGAACCUACCUAUAAGACUAGGAUAACUUCGUGAAACCGGAGCUAAUACCGUAUAAUAUAUGGAACCGCAGGGUUCAAUAGUGAAGGACGGUGUUGCUGUCACUGAUAGAUGGAUGCGCGCCGCAUUAGCUAGUUGGUAAGGUAACGGCUUACCAUGGCAACGAUGCGUAGCCGACCUGAGAGGGUGAAGCGCGACACUGGGACUGAGCGACGGUCUAGACUCCUACGGGAGGCAGAAGUAGGGAAUCUUGCGAACUGGGCGAAAGACUGACGGAGCAACGCAGCGUGAGUGCUGAAGGUCUUCGGAUCGUAUAACUCUGUUAUUAGGGAAGACCACAUGUGUAAGUAACUAUGCACGUCUUGACGGUACCUACUCAGAAAGCAACGGCUAACUACGUG
This 497-nucleotide ribosomal RNA is filed under the name uncultured bacterium. RNAcentral's name for it is "partial 16S ribosomal RNA". It matches the Rfam family "Bacterial small subunit ribosomal RNA", at positions 28 to 507 of the family's 1533-position model. The record is from RNAcentral.